GACAGAGGUCCCGAGCGUUGUUCGGAUUCAUUGGGCGUAAAGGGUGUGUAGGAGGCUAGGUAAGUCAGGUGUGAAAUCUCAGAGCUUAACUCUGAAACUGCGCUUGAUACUGCUUGGCUAGAGGAUCGGAGGGGGUAACGGAAUUUAUGGUGUAGCAGUGAAAUGCGUAGAUAUCAUAAGGAACACCGGUGGCGAAGGCGGUUACCUGGAAGAUUCCUGACUCUGAAACACGAAAGCCAGGGGAGCAAACGGG
This 253-nucleotide ribosomal RNA is filed under the name uncultured bacterium. RNAcentral's name for it is "partial 16S ribosomal RNA". It matches the Rfam family "Bacterial small subunit ribosomal RNA", at positions 524 to 776 of the family's 1533-position model. The record is from RNAcentral.